Molecule: small RNA, 309 nt
Filed under: Histoplasma capsulatum var. duboisii H88
Lineage: Eukaryota; Fungi; Ascomycota; Eurotiomycetes; Onygenales; Ajellomycetaceae
Description: Histoplasma capsulatum H88 hypothetical RNA
Source: RNAcentral
CCAUUUCUGAAUACAUUCACUUCUCUCCCUCACAAAUUGGUGAUUUGCUUUUUUUCCAGGUCCACAACCCAAGCAAAAACAUGUUUGAAGACCCCUUACACGCCGCUGAAGCUGUUUCUGUCCCUUGCUUUGAUCAACAGGAAGUAUUGCCAAUUGAAUCAGAUAAAGUGUUCAAGAGGAUGCCUCGUUGAUGAUACCCUCCAGUUAUUAAGACUCGAAGGAUCUGAAGUCCCGACAUUCCACCAGUCGCAUAUCGAACCCGGAGUUGAACUCCUCUCAGCCCUGUUUGCUUUACCUGCUGUUUGUUCG